This 289-nucleotide ribosomal RNA is filed under the name uncultured bacterium. RNAcentral's name for it is "partial 16S ribosomal RNA". It matches the Rfam family "Bacterial small subunit ribosomal RNA", at positions 29 to 296 of the family's 1533-position model. The record is from RNAcentral.
AGCGAACGCUGGCGGCGUGCUUAACACAUGCAAGUCGAGCGAAGGUGUUUCAAGGGUAACCUUGAGAUACACUUAGCGGCGGACGGGUGAGUAAUACGUGGAUAACUUACCUCUAGGCCUGGGAUAACCCCGGGAAACUGGGGCUAAUACCUGAUAAGACCACAUUGUCUACGGACAAAGGGGUAAAAGGUGGCUGUGCAAACAGCUAUCGCCAAAAGAUAGGUUCACGUCCCAUCAGGCAGUGGUGAGGUAAUGGCUCACCAAACCAAAGACGGGUAGCCGGCCUUGG